GGAAAGGUGAAAAGAACCCCGAACAGGGGAGUGAAAUAGAACCUGAAACCAUACGCUUACAACCGGUCGGAGCAGCUUCGUGCUGUGACGGCGUGCCUAUUGAAUAAUGAGCCUACGAGUUACUAAUCACUAGCGAGGUUAAGUGCAAGGAUGCACGGAGCCGAAGCGAAAGCGAGUCUGAACAGGGCGUUUAGUUAGUGGUUGUAGACGCGAAACCUUGCGAUCUACCCUUGAGCAGGUUGAAGGUUGGGUAAAACCAACUGGAGGACCGAACGAAUAAGCGUUGAAAAGCUUCUCGAUGACUUGAGGGUAGGGGUGAAAGGCUAAUCAAGCUGGGAAAUAGCUCGUACUCCCCGAAAUGCCUUUAGGGGCAGCGUUGUAAUUGAGAGUCUACUGGAGGUAGAGCUACUGAUUGGAUGCGGGGGCUUCACCGCCUACCAAAUCCUGACAAACUCCGAAUGCCAGUAGUAUGAUUUACAGCAGUGAGCGACCGGGUGCUAAUGUCCGGUUACGAGAGUGGAACAACACAGACCAGCAACUAAGGUCCCCAAGAGUAUACUAAGUUGAUCUAACGAUGUUUUGCUGCAGAGACAGCUAGGAUGUUAGCUUGGAAGCAGCUAUUCAUUCAAAGAGUGCGUAACAGCUCACUAGUCGAGCGACAGAGCGUGGAUAAUAAACGGGCAUCAAGCAUAUCACCGAAGUUCUGGGCGCGAGAGCGCGGUAGGGGAGCAUUCCAUUCAGCGUCGAAGCAGUUUCGUGAGGAAUUGUGGAGCGUAUGGAAAAGCAAAUGUAGGCAUGAGUAACGAUAAUGCGGGAGAGUAACCCGCACACCGCAAGACCAAGGUUUCCUGAUCAACGCUAAUCGGAUCAGGGUUAGUCGGGUCCUAAGGGUAAGCCGAACGGUGAUCUCGAUGGAUAAUCGGUUAAUAUUCCGAUACUAACAUAUACCUCGAUGGAGAGACGAAGGAACGUAAGUGCCGCCACCUGACGGAAUAGGUGGUUAAAGGGCGUAGGUAUAGGGGCAGAUUAAGAGUUAGUCCUUGCUGAAACCUGACAGUACAGAGAGCCUACGGGCAAUUUGAUAGUGCACCCAAGUCGACUUCCGAGAAAAUCUUCUAAGUUAUAGUAUAUGUUACCCGUACCGUAAACCGACACAGGUGGUCGAGGAGAGUAUCCUAAGGUGCUCGAGUGAAUCACGGUUAAGGAACUAGGCAAAUUAACCCCGUAACUUCGGGAAAAGGGGUCCCUAUGAAAGUAGGGCGCAGCGAAGAGGUCCAGGCGACUGUUUAUCAAAAACACAGGGCUCUGCAAAUUCGAAAGAAGACGUAUAGGGCCUGACACCUGCCCGGUGCUGGAAGGUUAAGAGGGGAUGUCAUCGCAAGAGAAGCAUUGAAUCGAAGCCCCAGUAAACGGCGGCCGUAACUAUAACGGUCCUAAGGUAGCGAAAUUCCUUGUCGGGUAAGUUCCGACCUGCACGAAUGGUGUAACGAUCUGGACACUGUCUCAACCGUGAGCUCGGUGAAAUUGUAGUAUCGGUGAAGAUGCCGAUUACCCGC
RNAcentral lists this ribosomal RNA (1556 nucleotides) under wastewater metagenome. RNAcentral's name for it is "bacterial LSU rRNA". It matches the Rfam family "Bacterial large subunit ribosomal RNA", at positions 508 to 2073 of the family's 2925-position model. The record is from RNAcentral.